Molecule: ribosomal RNA, 447 nt
Filed under: uncultured bacterium
Lineage: Bacteria
Description: partial 16S ribosomal RNA
Rfam family: Bacterial small subunit ribosomal RNA
Source: RNAcentral
AACGAACGCUGGCGGCAGGCCUAAUACAUGCAAGUCGAACGCACCGCAAGGUGAGUGGCAGACGGGUGAGUAACGCGUGGGAAUCUUCCUUGCAGUACGGAAUAACUCCGGGAAACCGGUGCUAAUACCGUAUACGUCCUUCGGGAGAAAGAUUUGUCGCUGCAAGAUGAGCCCGCGUCGGAUUAGCUAGUUGGUGGGGUAAAGGCCUACCAAGGCUACGAUCCGUAGCUGGUCUGAGAGGAUGAUCAGCCACACUGGGACUGAGACACGGCCCAGACUCCUACGGGAGGCAGCAGUAGGGAAUAUUGGACAAUGGGCGCAAGCUUGAUCCAGCCAUGCCGCGUGAGUGAAGAAGGCCUUAGGGUUGUAAAGCUCUUUUGGCGGGGAAGAUAAUGACGGUACCCGCAGAAUAAGCUCCGGCUAACUUCGUGCCAGCAGCCGCCGUAA